AUCCAGCUGACAAGUCCCAAAUGGGACGAUAAGCGCGUCCUAGAU
RNAcentral lists this non-coding RNA (45 nucleotides) under Schistosoma mansoni. The record is from RNAcentral. Lineage: Eukaryota; Metazoa; Platyhelminthes; Trematoda; Strigeidida; Schistosomatidae.